UUAAGCGACUAAGCGUACACGGUGGAUGCCCUGGCAGUCAGAGGCGAUGAAGGACGUGCUAAUCUGCGAUAAGCGUCGGUAAGGUGAUAUGAACCGUUAUAACCGGCGAUUUCCGAAUGGGGAAACCCAGUGUGUUUCGACACACUAUCAUUAACUGAAUCCAUAGGUUAAUGAGGCGAACCGGGGGAACUGAAACAUCUAAGUACCCCGAGGAAAAGAAAUCAACCGAGAUUCCCCCAGUAGCGGCGAGCGAACGGGGAGCAGCCCAGAGCCUGAAUCAGUGUGUGUGUUAGUGGAAGCGUCUGGAAAGGCGNGCGAUACAGGGUGACAGCCCCGUACACAAAAAUGCACAUGCUGUGAGCUCGAUGAGUAGGGCGGGACACGUGGUAUCCUGUCUGAAUAUGGGGGGACCAUCCUCCAAGGCUAAAUACUCCUGACUGACCGAUAGUGAACCAGUACCGUGAGGGAAAGGCGAAAAGAACCCCGGCGAGGGGAGUGAAAAAGAACCUGAAACCGUGUACGUACAAGCAGUGGGAGCACGCUUAGGCGUGUGACUGCGUACCUUUUGUAUAAUGGGUCAGCGACUUAUAUUCUGUAGCAAGGUUAACCGAAUAGGGGAGCCGAAGGGAAACCGAGUCUUAACUGGGCGUUAAGUUGCAGGGUAUAGACCCGAAACCCGGUGAUCUAGCCAUGGGCAGGUUGAAGGUUGGGUAACACUAACUGGAGGACCGAACCGACUAAUGUUGAAAAAUUAGCGGAUGACUUGUGGCUGGGGGUGAAAGGCCAAUCAAACCGGGAGAUAGCUGGUUCUCCCCGAAAGCUAUUUAGGUAGCGCCUCGUGAAUUCAUCUCCGGGGGUAGAGCACUGUUUCGGCAAGGGGGUCAUCCCGACUUACCAACCCGAUGCAAACUGCGAAUACCGGAGAAUGUUAUCACGGGAGACACACGGCGGGUGCUAACGUCCGUCGUGAAGAGGGAAACAACCCAGACCGCCAGCUAAGGUCCCAAAGUCAUGGUUAAGUGGGAAACGAUGUGGGAAGGCCCAGACAGCCAGGAUGUUGGCUUAGAAGCAGCCAUCAUUUAAAGAAAGCGUAAUAGCUCACUGGUCGAGUCGGCCUGCGCGGAAGAUGUAACGGGGCUAAACCAUGCACCGAAGCUGCGGCAGCGACGCUGAUGCGUUGUUGGGUAGGGGAGCGUUCUGUAAGCCUGCGAAGGUGUGCUGUGAGGCAUGCUGGAGGUAUCAGAAGUGCGAAUGCUGACAUAAGUAACGAUAAAGCGGGUGAAAAGCCCGCUCGCCGGAAGACCAAGGGUUCCUGUCCAACGUUAAUCGGGGCAGGGUGAGUCGACCCCUAAGGCGAGGCCGAAAGGCGUAGUCGAUGGGAAACAGGUUAAUAUUCCUGUACUUGGUGUUACUGCGAAGGGGGGACGGAGAAGGCUAUGUUGGCCGGGCGACGGUUGUCCCGGUUUAAGCGUGUAGGCUGGUUUUCCAGGCAAAUCCGGAAAAUCAAGGCUGAGGCGUGAUGACGAGGCACUACGGUGCUGAAGCAACAAAUGCCCUGCUUCCAGGAAAAGCCUCUAAGCAUCAGGUAACAUCAAAUCGUACCCCAAACCGACACAGGUGGUCAGGUAGAGAAUACCAAGGCGCUUGAGAGAACUCGGGUGAAGGAACUAGGCAAAAUGGUGCCGUAACUUCGGGAGAAGGCACGCUGAUAUGUAGGUGAAGUCCCUCGCGGAUGGAGCUGAAAUCAGUCGAAGAUACCAGCUGGCUGCAACUGUUUAUUAAAAACACAGCACUGUGCAAACACGAAAGUGGACGUAUACGGUGUGACGCCUGCCCGGUGCCGGAAGGUUAAUUGAUGGGGUUAGCGCAAGCGAAGCUCUUGAUCGAAGCCCCGGUAAACGGCGGCCGUAACUAUAACGGUCCUAAGGUAGCGAAAUUCCUUGUCGGGUAAGUUCCGACCUGCACGAAUGGCGUAAUGAUGGCCAGGCUGUCUCCACCCGAGACUCAGUGAAAUUGAACUCGCUGUGAAGAUGCAGUGUACCCGCGGCAAGACGGAAAGACCCCGUGAACCUUUACUAUAGCUUGACACUGAACAUUGAGCCUUGAUGUGUAGGAUAGGUGGGAGGCUUNNNNNNNNNNNNNNNNNNNNNNNNNNNNNNNNGAAGUGUGGACGCCAGUCUGCAUGGAGCCGACCUUGAAAUACCACCCUUUAAUGUUUGAUGUUCUAACGUUGACCCGUAAUCCGGGUUGCGGACAGUGUCUGGUGGGUAGUUUGACUGGGGCGGUCUCCUCCUAAAGAGUAACGGAGGAGCACGAAGGUUGGCUAAUCCUGGUCGGACAUCAGGAGGUUAGUGCAAUGGCAUAAGCCAGCUUGACUGCGAGCGUGACGGCGCGAGCAGGUGCGAAAGCAGGUCAUAGUGAUCCGGUGGUUCUGAAUGGAAGGGCCAUCGCUCAACGGAUAAAAGGUACUCCGGGGAUAACAGGCUGAUACCGCCCAAGAGUUCAUAUCGACGGCGGUGUUUGGCACCUCGAUGUCGGCUCAUCACAUCCUGGGGCUGAAGUAGGUCCCAAGGGUAUGGCUGUUCGCCAUUUAAAGUGGUACGCGAGCUGGGUUUAGAACGUCGUGAGACAGUUCGGUCCCUAUCUGCCGUGGGCGCUGGAGAACUGAGGGGGGCUGCUCCUAGUACGAGAGGACCGGAGUGGACGCAUCACUGGUGUUCGGGUUGUCAUGCCAAUGGCACUGCCCGGUAGCUAAAUGCGGAAGAGAUAAGUGCUGAAAGCAUCUAAGCACGAAACUUGCCCCGAGAUGAGUUCUCCCUGACUCCUUGAGAGUCCUGAAGGAACGUUGAAGACGACGACGUUGAUAGGCCGGGUGUGUAAGUGCAGCGAUGCGUUGAGCUAACCGGUACUAAUGAACCGUGAGGCUUAACCUU
This 2933-nucleotide ribosomal RNA is filed under the name Escherichia coli. RNAcentral's name for it is "bacterial LSU rRNA". It matches the Rfam family "Bacterial large subunit ribosomal RNA". Lineage: Bacteria; Pseudomonadati; Pseudomonadota; Gammaproteobacteria; Enterobacterales; Enterobacteriaceae. The record is from RNAcentral.